RNAcentral lists this ribosomal RNA (429 nucleotides) under Chloroflexota bacterium. RNAcentral describes it as "Chloroflexi bacterium partial 16S ribosomal RNA". It matches the Rfam family "Bacterial small subunit ribosomal RNA", at positions 355 to 776 of the family's 1533-position model. Lineage: Bacteria; Bacillati; Chloroflexota. The record is from RNAcentral.
UGGGGAAUAUUCCACAAUGGGCGCAAGCCUGAUGCAGCCAUGCCGCGUGUAUGAAGAAGGCCUUUGGGUUGUAAAGUACUUUCAGCGGGGAGGAAGGGAGUAAAGUUAAUACCUUUGCACCUUGACGUUACCCUCAGAAGAAGCACCGGCUAACACAGUGCCAGCAGCCGCGGUAAUACGGAGGGUGCAAGCGUUAAUCGGAAUUACUGGGCGUAAAGCGCACGCAGGCGGUUUGUUAAGUCAGAUGUGAAAUCCCCGGGCUCAACCUGGGAACUGCAUCGGAAACUGGCAAGCUUGAGUCUGGUAGAGGGGGGGAGAAUUCCAGGUGUAGCGGUGAAAUGCGUAGAGAUCUGGAGGAAUACCGGUGGCGAAGGCAGCCCCCUGGACGAAGACUGACGCUCAGGGGCGAAAGCGUGGGGAGCAAACGGG